Molecule: ribosomal RNA, 43 nt
Filed under: Sisyrinchium littorale
Lineage: Eukaryota; Viridiplantae; Streptophyta; Magnoliopsida; Asparagales; Iridaceae
Description: partial 18S ribosomal RNA
Rfam family: Eukaryotic small subunit ribosomal RNA
Source: RNAcentral
UUGUAACAAGGUUUCCGUAGGUGAACCUGCGGAAGGAUCAUUG